AUUGAACGCUGGCGGCAGGCCUAACACAUGCAAGUCGAGCGGAGCGGCGGACGGGUGCGUAAUGCCUAGGAAUCUGCCUGGUAGUGGUGGAUAACGUCCGGAAACGGGCGCUAAUACCGCAUACUAUCAGAUGAGCCUAGGUCGGAUUAGCUAGUUGGUGGGGGAAAGGCCUACCAAGGCGACGAUCCGUAACUGGUAUGAGAGGAUGAUCAGUCACACUGGAACGGAGACACGGUCCAGAAUCCUACGGGAGGCAGCAGUGGGGAAGAUUGGACAAUGGGAGAAAGCCUGAUCCAGCCAUGCAGCGUGUGGGAAGAAGGUCUUCGGAUUGUAAAGCACUUUAAGUUGGGAGGCGUUACCAAAAGAAUAAGCACCGGCUAACUUCGUGCCAGCAGCCGCGGUAAUUC
This 407-nucleotide ribosomal RNA is filed under the name uncultured bacterium. RNAcentral's name for it is "partial 16S ribosomal RNA". It matches the Rfam family "Bacterial small subunit ribosomal RNA", at positions 30 to 526 of the family's 1533-position model. The record is from RNAcentral.